UACGGAGGGGGCUAGCGUUGUUCGGAAUUACUGGGCGUAAAGCGCGCGUAGGCGGACCUGCAAGUCGGGGGUGAAAGCCCGAGGCUCAACCUCGGAACUGCCUUCGAUACUGCGGGUCUCGAGUCCGGGAGAGGUGAGUGGAAUUCCUAGUGUAGAGGUGAAAUUCGUAGAUAUUAGGAAGAACACCAGUGGCGAAGGCGGCUCACUGGCCCGGUACUGACGCUGAGGUGCGAAAGCGUGGGGAGCAAACGGG
This 253-nucleotide ribosomal RNA is filed under the name uncultured bacterium. RNAcentral's name for it is "partial 16S ribosomal RNA". It matches the Rfam family "Bacterial small subunit ribosomal RNA", at positions 524 to 776 of the family's 1533-position model. The record is from RNAcentral.